RNAcentral lists this ribosomal RNA (699 nucleotides) under Rhipicephalus sanguineus (brown dog tick). RNAcentral's name for it is "SSU rRNA". It matches the Rfam family "Eukaryotic small subunit ribosomal RNA", at positions 148 to 844 of the family's 1831-position model. Lineage: Eukaryota; Metazoa; Arthropoda; Arachnida; Ixodida; Ixodidae. The record is from RNAcentral.
UGUGGCAUUCUAGAGCUAAUACAUGCAGUGAGCCUGGAGCCCUUUGGGUAACGGGUGCUUUUAUUAGACCAAGAUCGAUCGGGUUUCGGCCCGUAUUGUGUGGUGACUCUGGAUAACUUUGUGCUGAUCGCAUGGCCACGAGCCGGCGACGUUUCUUUCAAGUGUCUGCCUUAUCAACUUUCGAUGGUAGGUUACUUGCUUACCAUGGUUGUUACGGGUAACGGAGAAUCAGGGUUCGAUUCCGGAGAGGGAGCCUGAGAAACGGCUACCACAUCCAAGGAAGGCAGCAGGCGCGCAAAUUACCCACUCCCGGCACGGGGAGGUAGUGACGAAAAAUAACAAUACGGGACUCUUUUGAGGCCCCGUAAUUGAAAUGAGUACACUCUAAAUCCUUUAACGAGGAUCAAUUGGAGGGCAAGUCUGGUGCCAGCAGCCGCGGUAAUUCCAGCUCCAAUAGCGUAUACUAAAGCUGCUGCGGUUAAAAAGCUCGUAGUUGGAUCUCAGUUCCAGACGAGUAGUGCAUCUACCCGAUGCGACGGCUCGGACUGAACAUCAUGCCGGUUCUUUCUUGGUGCACUUCAUUGUGUGCCUCGAGAUGGCCGGUGCUUUUACUUUGAAAAAAUUAGAGUGCUCAACGCAGGCGAGUCGCCUGAAUAAACUUGCAUGGAAUAAUAGAACAAGACCUCGUUUCUGUUCUGU